GCAUUAACCCCAAUGGCAGAGGAUGAUGCUGCGGCACCUCCAGUGACUCCAGCAGGUGCAUUUUUUCCUUGUUUGAAGCAAUGAUUGAAACCGUAUCCACCGCCACACCCUGAACAUUCGUGCUUAAAUCUACAUGCUGCCCCCCCCACUUACACUGUCCCUCAUUGAAGAACCAGGAAAAUCCCCUCCUAUGCAUAGCCGGUGAGGCGGAACAGGAACCGGUGCCAGCUAAGAUUGAAAGGGCGAUGCUUUUUGCCCCAUCAUCACUUUCAUCCAGAGUGUCAGAUCCAUUUGAUCCCAACACAUACCUGGAUUGACUGACAGAUGCUGACGGAACUGCUCGUCAUAUCGCCACCAUGCAAGCCCCCCAUACACCAUCCUGAUAACAGAACAAUUGGGAGCACUUAUCUGGUGAUUUCUCUCCUAACACGCUAGCCAGGAUACUGAAAGCCCUAAGCCAAUUUCCGAAAGGUUUUGGAAUCUUUCUAUACUUAAUAUUCCUCUAGGGGGAGGAGGAAAAAAAUCUCUACAAACUCACCUUUCCAGAUCCUUUCCUUGACUUCUGGCUUUAGAUGGCAGCCCAUAUGACACAUUUUGUCAAGCAGCCUCAGGAAUAUCCCCUACUAAUGUGUUAAUAAAAGAUUGUAGACACUCAAUGAAUCCCCCCGUGUGUGGCGCAUGAGGUGACUCACCAACUGAACCCUGUGUUACGUCUGAUCCUGUUGCUGCUCCCUGACUCCCUCCGUGUGUAUGUCCCGGCAAAGCUAUAUGCAAAACUGAUCCAACGUCCUGAAGUACUUGCAGGCCUGCAGCCUCCUUUUUUUGACACAUGGAAAAAGAAGAAAACAUCCUGGGUAGGCCGUCCCCAAUAUCCUGCACCCUCCUGGCCUCUCUCUGAGUCCCUGAACUCACAUGAACACUACUUGACCUGACAUCCUGGCCCAUAUGGCCGUACCUGACUCUGUAUGUUUCCUUCCUGCCUGGGGAGCCCCUUGUUGAUGUAUCUGGCAGCUUUGUGCCUGCUUUCCAACCUCUCCACCCCCCACACCAUGCCUGCAUUGUUCCUUUUAGCCUUGGGGACUGACUCACCCGGUAGCUUCAGGGAGAUUCCCUCUGUUCUCUGGCCGUCGUCCGCUUCCUUCGGGAUAUUAGCCUCUCAGGAGCGCCCCUCAAAGGCUGCAGCCACCAUUUGAUAUUCCCCUGUGACCGCCGGAAAUUGCGUGGUCACGUGUUCUUGGCCGCACGCCUCACUUUGCGGUGGACCUCCAAGGCAUGCAGCCACACAUGUGAUUUGUCCUCUAUCUGUAGUCGGUAACCGAGUGCCUUCUUUACCCUUCCUAGAUGUGUGGGUCAUGCGGGAAGGGGUUCUCUUCCGGAACAGCAGUGUCUCCUCUCCAGGGCUGAGCCUCUGCAGCGGCCAAGUCUGCCGUGCUGUCCGUCGCAACUGGAGCCCAGCUGGGCCUGCUGAGCCAAUUGUUAUUCUCCACCGGUCCUGCAACCAAGCCACAUCAUGAUCCAUCGUGGCAGCCCGGAUACUUUUAAUAAAGGCCUCCACAUCACGCUCCGGAUCCAUGGAACCUGAAAGACAAAAGAAAGAACACCAACGUGCUGCAGCAACAACAGGUAAGUUAGUUAAAAGAGGGUUCUCCCUAAAAUGGCCGCUAUUUAUGUGGCUAUAGGCCACCCCUUCCCAAAUUCUAUAAUCCACUCCCCCUAUCCAUAUGCCUGCCUCCUAGCUAGGUCAAGGCCCACUCCUCUUAGCUGUUCCCUGGGCUUCAUUCCUGGUGAUAGUGAAAAGGUUAAUCUGGGUUCUCCACCUAAGGUGGGAGUUCGAAUGAAAGUUUGUCCUCCUAAUGUUAAAUAAAGACCCUCUCUCGCGUUGCCACAGAUAAAAUCUAUUCCUUGCUAGCUAUUCCUAUUUAUUCCGCCUUGCUGCCUCUCACAAUAAAUGAUGCUUUAAAUUUUAUGUAUUUAUGUAAAAUUAUUUCAACAGGGAGACACUCCCGAGAUGAGGCCUUAUUUGCAUAGUUACACUGUAAAUUUUACAUUUGCAUUCUAAUCUUUAUAUAAAGUAGACAGGCACUCUGCUCUGUAAUGUGACUUGUUCUAAAAUCUCCUCUUAUGGAAUUAUUUAUAUUCCCCUCUUGCAAUGUCAAAUUAAAAUUAACUCAUGUAUUGCCCAAAGAGGACCAAAGCAUUGUUUCUGUUGUCAUGCUGGAUAGAAAAAGACUGAAGCAACAGGAAGUAAAUACAGUUACUGAGAUCAAAGUGGAAGCUAUACAGCUAUCUCAGAAUCUGUUACAAGUUAUUAUGAUAGCUCAUUCAGUUUUCAUACGUGCCAACAGGCCCAUAUUUACAGGAAUAGUCCCUAGUUUUGGUUCUAUAGCACUCUUGCAGACUUUUGGGUUUAUUCACACUAAGGGUUAUUUACUGGAAUGAGAAUACAAAGUGAUUUGCAAAUUUAAAAUCAAAAUAAUUAAACUGGAAUAAUACUCUAAGUUAGCUAUGCUUUUACUUCAACUACUCUGACCUUAAAUUUAAAAAUUCACCUCAAAUUCUUAUUUCAGUCAAUAAUCCUGAUAGUUGGGAAAUUGUAGAGAAUUGCAGGGAAUUUUAAUUUUCAUUGGCCAAAUUCUCCAAAGCAUAUAUUUUCUAACUCAGGUGCUGUAUCCUAAAAUUAGCAUUUACCAAGUCUACACAAUCGCGACACAGAGUUUAUUUAUAAAUAAAUGCCAUGUCCUAUUGUGUUUUAUACCCCACCUCCUAUAGACUGUAAGCUCGUUUAAGCAGGGUCCUCUUCAACCUAUCGUUCCUGUACGUUUUCUUGUAAUUGUCCUAUUUAUAGUUAAAUCUCCCCUCUAAUAAUAUUGUAAAGCGCUAUGGAAUCUGUUGGUGCUAUAUAAAUGGCGAUAAUAUUAAUAUGUAACACUUGUUUCCAUGCUAGGUGUUGGAAAUACCACCUUUUUAUAUCUAAUUGAAAAUUACACCUAAACAUUGCAAAAUGUAAUAAAAAAAACAAACAGUACCUUUAUGACUUUGUAGUUAAAAUCACAGCUGGAAAUCGUUCGUGCCUCAUGUGUACUACAUCAGAGAUGAUGAAUGACAAACCGCGUUAGUGCUAUUGUGGUGGUGUCUUUCCUCUCCUGAUAGUUCAUGCCAUGAUUUUAACUAUGAAGUUAUAAAGGUAAGUUUAUUCUAUUUUUCAAUUUAAUUAUUUUUUUUAUUUUUUUAUUUGGCUGAAUGACAUAUGCUUUCUUAUCUACAGGCUCAGAUCAAGUUAUAACCCUGCUGCAAUUAUUCCUUUCUUUGAUGUGUAGAUAAUUCCAACAACUUUUAUACUUUGGAAAAUUACACUGACCUCAUCUUGGCGCAAAGUGGAAAAGUUAAAGGGACACUAUAGUCACCAGAACAAGUCCCUGCCCACAUAGUUGCCAACAUUUGAAAUCAUUCCCAGGGACACUUUGCAGCACGGAUAUUAAUGCCUACCUUGAAAAUUGACCACACCCACUGCCACAAAACUCCGCCCACUAUGUCCAACCCACAUAAUUAAUCUCUGUCUACUUAUAGUGCAGAUUACAGGGUCUACUCAAUCAAGAGAGAAUUACAGGGAAUUGAGAUGGAAAUUUUAAACUUAAGGCCAAAGUAGCAGAGUUGGAAAAUUUUCCCCAUUCAGCUGCACUGGUUUGGCCUAAAGUUUGAAAUUCCCAUCACAAUUCCCUGCAAUUCUCUCUUUAUUGAAUAGACCUUGAUAACACCAAGUUCCCACCAACAGUACCAUCAUCCUUGGUGUGCGAUUGAUACAUUCGCAGCACAGUAUCUAUAUCAGGAAGGUACAUUUUAUCACUUUAAUGUGAGUUGGGUAUCAGUGGUAACACUGUCAGUACAAAUAUAGAAAGACCUUGUGCUGAUGUACUUCAGUCAGAGAGCUGUGCCUACACCAUAGAACAUACAUUAGUUCACAAAAAUAAUUAUAUUGGGGAGUGAUAGAAAAAAAAAGCUAAAAAUAGGAAAAGAAAGAUAUAGAAGAAGAAUUUACAUAAUGGAAUUAAAGAGAGAAAUGGGUGCAAAAUGAAAACAUAUGAACAUAUUCUAUUGGCCCCUUUUCACGUCUUUCAUGUCCCGAAUUCUACAUGUUGAAUGUCUCAGAUUGAGGCUUCAGCCACCACUCCACUGCUUCUGAUUCUUCUAGUUCCUGGAGUCUGUGGGUAUUAUACAGAGAGCAGCACUAUACAGGGAGCACUGACCAUCCCAGGAUAUUAUACACAGACCUGUAUUAUACAGAGAGCAUCACUAUACAGGGAGAAUUGACUGACCCGGAAUAUUAUACACAGACCUGUGUUAUACAGAGAGCAGCACAAUACAGGGAGCACUGACUGUCCCAGGAUAUUAUAUAAACAUACCUGUAUUAUACAGAGUGCAGCACUAUACAGGGAGCACAGACUGUCCCAGGAUAUUAUACACAUAGUACAAAACAAAUGGUAUGCACAAAUAGUGAUACAAAUAGAUUGCUCUAAAACACCCGUGUAGGAUCCCCUAUACCAACACUGUUAAAUACAUACAGAACAGGAAAAAAUGGAUGGAGCAAUAUUAGUCCUCUCUUCUCGACUUGUAGUUCUGUGGAGACAGAGAGGUACACACAAUAGUGCAGAUGGCUAUAGACAGGUGUGGCUAGGUGAUAGAUGAAAACACUCACAAACGUAGAGCCAAUUGGACCUGGCUCUGGUAUCAAGGCCUCAGGAUCUUUUGGGGGUGAUCCAAAUCCCUGUGGAGGUGUUCUGGAUGUCCAAGGAUACUUUCUUGUUCCACCAUAAACAGCAAGGGAUUCAAUUAGAUGUAAAGUAAAAUAUAAUUUAUUAAUACAUAUAUAGGAAAGAUAAGUGUGAAAUAACAGCCAAAACGCGUUUCGCCUCUUGGGCUUCCUCAGUUGGCUGUGUACUAGUCUCUAAGUCCUUCUCUGCCUUUAAACGUUGGUUUUGCGGUCUUUUUCAGCGUGGAACGCACCUUGCGUUCCAUCUUCCAAUCGUUGGUUACUUCCGGGUUCUGUAAAAUGCGGACAAUCACGUGGGGCGGUCUUUUCGUAGGUGGAACGCAUCUUGCGUUCCAUUCUCCGAUCUGUGUUUACUUCCUGGCUUCGGUCAUGUGUGUCAUCACGUGUAUAGCGUUUCGUGCACGUGAUAUCUAAUUUGCAUUGUGGAAUACUCUUUCGAUGGAUAUUCCUCUCGGGCUAAUAAUUAAAUAAUAAGUUCACUAACAUAUUAAUGUGAUAAUCACUGUAUACUAAUUGACCAUUAUAAAUGUAAAUAUACCUGGGUACAUGACAAGAUAAAUGGAUAUAUUAACAGACUCUUUGUGGUGACAAAACACUUAGCUUUAAAAUUAACAAUUGGAUAGCUAAGUUCUUAAAGUGACGGUGCAUGAUUCUAAACAUAACCUAAUCAGUAUUUAGGAAUGCAAUUGUUUGGCUCAAAAAGGCUGUUCUACACAGGGCUUCAAUUUUAAACAAGAAAAAGAGAAAGGGAAGAAAAAGAAAGAGAAAGUAAUGUUAAUGGAUCAUUUGAAACAGAAUUUUACCAUGGAGAUAUAUAUACAUUAUACCCUUAUUUCCUCAGAUUUGUAAAGUGACAGUGUGCAAUUACUUUUAAUGUAAACUCAGCUCAUAAGUGGCUUGAUGCUUGUGUGCUUAAAGUGGCAAUGCUUUUAUGAUGUUCUGAAAAAUAUUAUUAUACAUGGUCUUGCAAGAUCUUGGUUUAAUCUUAUAUUAAUCUCUAAAUAAAUACAUAUAUUUACGACUAAUGGAUGGUUAAAAAAAAAAAAAAAAAAGGGGGAACUAUAAAAAGUGGCAUAAUUCGAAAUCUUGAUUAAGGCCGUGUGGGAUAAGCGUUUUAAAAUUAUAAAUAAAUUUCAUCUCUUCUUCUCCUAUUUUUCUAUUAAAAUCUCCUCCCCUCCAAUCUUUUUGUACCAAUUUGAAGGCGCAAAAGAACAUGUUUUUUGGUUCACUAUUGUGGUGUAUCUUAAAAUGAUUCGAUACACUGUGCGUUUCUAAACCCUUUUUGAUGUUUCUUACAUGUUCUGCAAUCCUGACAUGUAGGCUUCUAAUAGUUCUGCCUACAUACAUCAGACCACACGGGCAUCUAAGAGUAUAAAUGACAUUUUUUGAAAAACAUGUUAAUAGAUUAUUAAUUGUGAAUUUUUUAUCUUUUUGGUAGUUGAAGGAGGUGAUAUGUCUUUUACUCUGAUUGGUACCUCUACAGGCUAGACAGGAUCCACAACCAUAAAAACCUUUAUUUUUAUUUAAAAAAUGUUCUGUAUUUUUAUUUUUAAAACUACUUUUAACUACCAUUUGUUUUAGAUUUUUACAUCCUCUAUACACUAUCAUCGGCUUGGGAGGUAAAAUCUGUUUUAAAAUGGGGUCUUCUUGUAGGACUGGCCAGUAUUUUUUAACAAUUUUUCUUAUAGUGGCAUUGUUUCCGCUGUGGUUGCAUAUAAAGGGAAUUUUUAUUUUGCUUUCAUUAUAUGCAUUGUUUUUCUUUUUUAUAUUUCCUUUAGAUUUAAUAAGUUCCUGUCUUCUAAUUUUUCUGUUCUAUUAUACACAUAGACCUGUACUAUAGAGAGAGCAGCACUAUACAGGGAACACUGACUAUUCUGUGACAAUAUACAGACACAGAUCUGUAUUAUACAGAGAGCAGCACUGUACAGAGAGCACUGACUGUCCCAGGAUAUUAUACACACAGACCUGUACUAUACAGAGAGCAGCAAAUACAGGGAACUCUGUAUAAUACAGGUAUGUGUGUAUAAUAUCAUGGGACAGUCAGUGUUCCCUGUAUAGUGCUGCUCUCUGUAUUAUACAGGUCUGUGUCUGUUUAAUAUCACAGACUAGUCAGUGUUCCCUGUAUAGUGCUGCUCUCUGUAUACUACAGGCCUGUGUCUGUUUAAUAUCACAGAAUAGUCAGUGUUCCCUGUAUAGUGCUGCUCUCUGUAUACUACAUGUCUGUGUGUACUCAGCCAUCUGUGUGUGUGUACUCAGCAGUCUUUGUGUGUGUACACAGCAGUCUGUGUGUGUACACAGCAGUCUGUGUGUGUAUUCAGCAGUCUGUGUGUGCGUGAAUUCAGCAGUCAGUGUGUGCAUGUAUUUAGCAGUUGGUGUGUGUGUGUGUAUUCGGCAGUCUGUCUGUGAAUGUGUUCAGCAGUCUGAGUGUAUGUAUGUAUUGCAUUUGUUGGAGGUACCAAUAAAUAUAAGCUUAAUUUUAUUGAUAAUACAGGUCUGUGUGCAUAAUAUCAUGGUACAGUCAGUGCUUCCUGUACAGUGCUGCUCAGAUGGCGUAUAAAGGGACUUCCUGGGGCAGUGCUGCACAGUGUGACUGCCAUUCAGUGUCUCCACCCUCCGCAUGGAAACACUGAACUUUCCUCAUAGAGGAUCAAUGAAUCUCUCUAUGAGGAGAUGUUGAUUGGCCAGGGUUGCAUUUGGCUCUACCCCUGGCCCGCCUCCUUGGUUGAGAUCAUCAGAAUUGACAAUCUCAGCCAAUCCAAUGCUUUCCUCUGGGAAAGCAUUGUGGUUGGCUGAGAUCAUCACUUCUUACAAUGUAUGUAAAAAGUAAUGAUAUACAAUGAUGUAUGUAUAGACAUCAAGAGUUAAACACUAAUUUAAGAGGUUAGUAGGACCUACAGCAGCAAAGGGAUUAAAAUAUUAUUAAUUCCGUAACAUAAUAAGUGAACAAUCAUGUUGUCUGUUUCCCCCCCAAACUCUACUCACUAUGCUGAGACAGUAGCCAUAUAACUACUGUAGAUUUAAAAAAAGGAGAAUUCAGAAGGCACUAACAAUACAUCAAAGUUAUCACAAUGGGGGAGAGUUAUCAAGUCAAUACAGACAAUGUUUGGGGUGCAAUGUGCUCAAUAUUGAGAGACGUUAAUUUGCUUUUAAUGGUGAUGGUUCCUUAUUUAGCACUUUGCUCCAGAACAGCACCUUGUAGGACUCUCUAGAAAGGGCUGGAGUAAUAUACUCUGUUUAGGCAAUAGACAUGCCAGGCUGUCUUUUAUCUCUGCAAGCCUUUUAGAAAAUGCCACCAGAAUCACUACAAGAAUAUAAAAUGCCAGAAUAAAAAAGCUACAAUGAAGUUUGGUAGAAAAAAAGAGUAUUGCUCAAACUUUCUAUGAUAACACAUUGGUCCGUACUAGCAAAAGGUCCUCAGUCUCUACAAAAGCUGCUCAAUUUCACCACCCGUGUCAGGGAAUCCCAGACCACAACUCAAUGCGUGCUAAAAAGCAAAAUCCCAGAAAAGCAAGGAAUAGACACAAAAUAUCUGUAGAGGGAGGAAAGGGAACUUUCCAUCUAUUUCAGAAACAUUUUUUUUUUGCUUUGCAUUCAGGAAGAAACUGAAGAUACGGCUCUUCAACCAGGCGUAUUACACCGGCUGCUAUCAAUGUUUGUUUUUUCUCUCUACCUUCAGGCACAACCACUCAUAGAAAACGAGCUUCUAGAUAGAUAGAUGUUUUCAUUCUGUGUCUACGUUGAGGCUAUGAAAAUACAUUUUGGCUUUUUUUUACAUUCUUUUUAUUUUUUUAUUCUUUUUGCACUCCUGCAAAGUAAUAUGCCUCUAAACCCAAACUGUCAAGAAAAAAGCCAGAUACAUAGUACGGGUCAUUUAUUGCUUCUAAUCAUAUAGGUGACAGGCAGAAUCAUCAGCAGGUGCUGCAAUUCUUAGGUUCAAUGGCAAAAACAAAAUCCAUCUGCUUUAAAGAACUUGGUCAGCAGGAUAUAGAAGAAUCGGCCCUGAAUAAUGAAUUAUCGGAGCUGGGAAUGCAGAGAAACUGGUGGAGAUGCUUGAUAGUCAUUAGGUUUGCUGGUUGCUCUUUGCGUUAUCUGGUUUCGUUAAGAUCUAUCUAUCUGUUUGUCUAUCUGUUUGUCUGUUGUCUAUCUGUCUGUCUGUCUAUCUAUAUAUCUAUCUGUCUGUCUGUCUGUGUCUAUCCAUUUAUUUAUCUGUUUGUCUCUGUCUUUCUGUCUGUCUAUCCACAUUUUGCAUGUUUAAUAGUUUUCAAAAAAUGAGAAAAUAAACAUACAUCAAACAAACAGUAGAUCAUAGAUACAAUAGAAAUAUAUCGAAAGAAAACAAAUAGAAAUGCACAACACAUGUGGGCAAUACGGGGUGCACACCACUUUAU
Pelobates cultripes (western spadefoot toad) is the source of this 9156-nucleotide non-coding RNA. The record is from the annotation of a GenBank genome assembly. NCBI's taxonomy places the organism in Eukaryota, Metazoa, Chordata, Amphibia, Anura, Pelobatidae.